UCCGAGUUGACCCCGGCAGUCUCCUAUGAGUCCCCACCAUUACGUGCUGGCAACAUAGAACGAGGGUUGCGCUCGUUGCGGGACUUAACCCAACAUCUCACGACACGAGCUGACGACAGCCAUGCACCACCUGUGAACGGCCCCGAAGGACCCGACAUCUCUGCCGGAUUUCCGUCCAUGUCAAACCCAGGUAAGGUUCUUCGCGUUGCAUCGAAUUAAUCCGCAUGCUCCGCCGCUUGUGCGGGUCCCCGUCAAUUCCUUUGAGUUUUAGCCUUGCGGCCGUACUCCCCAGGCGGAGAACUUAUCGCGUUAGCUGCGCCACUAAAGGACUAAUUUCCUCCAACGGCUAGUUCUCAUCGUUAGGGCGUGGACUAC
This 375-nucleotide unclassified non-coding RNA is filed under the name uncultured Actinomycetes bacterium. Its description in RNAcentral is "uncultured actinobacterium contains 16S-23S intergenic spacer region". The record is from RNAcentral. Lineage: Bacteria; Bacillati; Actinomycetota; Actinomycetes.